AUGGAUCUGUUUAUCGCUCUUUGGCUGAUAGGUAUUGUAGCUGGUAUUGUUGUGAUUGAUUUAGUAGGUGUUUUCUUUUAUGGUUCAUAUUCUGGAUUGGGUUCAUCUCUAUAG
This 114-nucleotide ribosomal RNA is filed under the name Triticum aestivum (bread wheat). RNAcentral's name for it is "partial small subunit ribosomal RNA". Lineage: Eukaryota; Viridiplantae; Streptophyta; Magnoliopsida; Poales; Poaceae. The record is from RNAcentral.